Molecule: ribosomal RNA, 314 nt
Filed under: uncultured eukaryote
Lineage: Eukaryota
Description: partial 18S ribosomal RNA
Rfam family: Eukaryotic small subunit ribosomal RNA
Source: RNAcentral
CCCCUAGAUGUUCUGGGCCGCACGCGCGCUACACUGAACAGUUCAACAAGUCUUAACCUUGGCCGAUAGGUCUGGGUAAUCUUUGAACGCUGUUCGUGAUUGGGAUAGACCUUUGCAAUUAUGGGUCUUCAACGAGGAAUUCCUAGUAAACGCAAGUCAUCAGCUUGCAUUGAUUACGUCCCUGCCCUUUGUACACACCGCCCGUCGCACCUACCGAUUGAAUGGUCCGGUGAAAUCUCGGGAUUGCGAAUGCUUCGUGCGGACGCGAGAACUUGGCUAAACCUUACCAUUUAGAGGAAGGUGAAGUCGUAACA